Molecule: non-coding RNA, 268 nt
Organism: Electrophorus electricus (electric eel)
Lineage: Eukaryota; Metazoa; Chordata; Actinopteri; Gymnotiformes; Gymnotidae
Source: Ensembl
GGUCAGUGAUGUGAUGUAAAAGGUCUGAAGCCCAGAUCUCCUCCCAGUUCCUAUGUUCCUCCCAGCAGCCCCGGCUGUGUUCCCAGCAUGCUCUAGGUGUGCGUGGUUGGUUUGCGGGGCGGCUGAUAUUGAGGGAGACGCUGCUGAGUGUGCGUCUCUGAGAGAGCAGCGAGACGCAGACGUACAGCAGCGUCCGACAGCAACACUGCACACAGGAGGGCGGAGCUAGGUUGACCUGGGUGGCUGAUCUCAACCUCAGACUGAGACC